Molecule: long non-coding RNA, 487 nt
Filed under: Vitis vinifera (wine grape)
Lineage: Eukaryota; Viridiplantae; Streptophyta; Magnoliopsida; Vitales; Vitaceae
Description: long non-coding RNA (VVIN_LNC002617)
Source: RNAcentral
UAUGGGAAAAUGAUUUGGUCUUCUGCAUGAAGUAGGAUUUGUUAUUAGAUCACUCACAGUACGUUUUGCGCAAUUAUAAUAACACUAAUGAAAUAACCAUCAGCCAAGCCUUAUUGUCACAAUCUAAGUGUUGACGAGAAACUUAUGUUUAGGUCUCGGGCAUUAAGCAGGAUUUGUAAUCAGAUGACUGAAAGAAAGCCCUGGGAGAACACAUAAUCUAAAACGUUACAUCGUGAUAAUACAUCAAAGAGAUUCAGGUAGAGAUAGGCUUAAUUUUGGGUACAGCUUUCAAUGGAUGAAACUUGCAGAUUACGAUUCCGCGCCUCUCUUUCAUGUCCAUUGUCUCUGGCGUGACAUUACGCUCAAGUUGCCAGUCAAAAUGAUGAAGCAGCGACCCCAACACAAAGUGUAGCACUCGAUAGGCUAAUGGAAUUCCUACGCAAAUCCUUCGCCCUGCGCCAAAUGGGAUGAACUCGAAAUUUUGGCC